UGGGGAAUUUUGCACAAUGGGGGAAACCCUGAUGCAGCGACGCCGCGUGAUUUAGAAGGCCUUCGGGUUGUAAAAAUCUUUUUUACGGGAUGAAAAUGACAGUACCGUAAGAAUAAGGUCCGGCUAAAUACGUGCCAGCAGCCGCGGUAAUACGUAUGGACCGAGCGUUGUCCGGAAUCAUUGGGCGUAAAGGGUACGUAGGCGGCCUAGUAAGUUAGAAGUGAAAUAAUAUAGCUCAACUAUAUAAAGCUUUUAAAACUGCUAGGCUUGAGAGAUGGAAGGGAAAGUGGAAUUCCUAGUGUAGCGGUGAAAUGCGCAGAUAUUAGGAAGAAUACCGGUGGCGAAGGCGACUUUCUGGUCAUCAUCUGACGCUGAGGUACGAAAGCGUGGGUAGCAAAAAGG
Molecule: ribosomal RNA, 402 nt
Filed under: bacterium
Lineage: Bacteria
Description: partial 16S ribosomal RNA
Rfam family: Bacterial small subunit ribosomal RNA
Source: RNAcentral